CAGCAGCCGCGGUAAUACGGAGGGUGCGAGCGUUAUCCGGAUUUAUUGGGUUUAAAGGGUCCGUAGGCGGGCCUGUAAGUCGGAGGUGAAAUCCCGCGGCUCAACCGCGGAACCGCCUUCGAUACUGCGGGUCUUGAGUAGGCUUGAGGCGGCCGGAAUGAGUGGUGUAGCGGUGAAAUGCAUAGAUAUCACUCAGAACACCGAUAGCGAAGGCAGGUCGCCAAGGCCUUACUGACGCUGAUGGACGAAAGCGUGGGGAGCGAACAGGAUUAGAUACCCUGGUAGUCCACGCCGUAAACGAUGCUCACUCGUUCUCGGGCGUUAUCGUUCGGGGGCUAAGCGAAAGUGAUAAGUGAGCCACCUGGGGAGUACGGGCGCAAGCCUGAAACUCAAAGGAAUUGACGGGGGCCCGCACAAGCGGUGGAUUAUGUGGUUUAAUUCGAUGAUACGCGAGGAACCUUACCAGGGCUUAAAUGGGGGCCGACCGGCGCAGAGAUGCGCCUUUCUUCGGACGGUCUUCAAGGUGCUGCAUGGUUGUCGUCAGCUCGUGCCGUGAGGUGUUAGGUUAAGUCCUGCAACGAGCGCAACCCCUGCCGCCAGUUGCCAUCAUUAAGUUGGGGACUCUGGCGGGACUGCCUACGCAAGUAGCGAGGAAGGCGGGGACGACGUCAAAUCAUCACGGCCCUUACGCCCUGGGCCACACACGUAAUACAAUGGCCGGUACAGAGGGCAGCCACGCGGCGACGCGGAGCGAAUCUCGAAAGCCGGUCUCAGUUCGGAUUGGAGUCUGCAACUCGACUCUAUGAAGCUGGAAUCGCUAGUAAUCGCGCAUCAGCCAUGGCGCGGUGAAUACGUUCCCGGGCCUUGUACACACCGCCCGUCAAGCCAUGGAAGUCCGGGGUACCUGAAGUCGGUGACCGUAAAGGAGCUGCCUAGGGUAAAACGGGUAACUAGGGCUAAGUCGUAACAAGUAGCCGU
This 978-nucleotide ribosomal RNA is filed under the name uncultured Flavobacteriaceae bacterium. RNAcentral describes it as "bacterial SSU rRNA". It matches the Rfam family "Bacterial small subunit ribosomal RNA", at positions 509 to 1503 of the family's 1533-position model. Lineage: Bacteria; Pseudomonadati; Bacteroidota; Flavobacteriia; Flavobacteriales; Flavobacteriaceae. The record is from RNAcentral.